UGGGGAAUUUUGGACAAUGGGGGCAACCCUGAUCCAGCCAUGCCGCGUGCGGGAAGAAGGCCUUCGGGUUGUAAACCGCUUUUGUCAGGGAAGAAACGGUCUGCGCUAAUACCGCGGGCUAAUGACGGUACCUGAAGAAUAAGCACCGGCUAACUACGUGCCAGCAGCCGCGGUAAUACGUAGGGUGCAAGCGUUAAUCGGAAUUACUGGGCGUAAAGCGUGCGCAGGCGGCUUUGCAAGACAGAUGUGAAAUCCCCGGGCUCAACCUGGGAACUGCAUUUGUGACUGCAUGGCUAGAGUGCGGCAGAGGGGGAUGGAAUUCCGCGUGUAGCAGUGAAAUGCGUAGAUAUGCGGAGGAACACCGAUGGCGAAGGCAAUCCCCUGGGCCUGCACUGACGCUCAUGCACGAAAGCGUGGGGAGCAAACA
RNAcentral lists this ribosomal RNA (427 nucleotides) under uncultured bacterium. Its description in RNAcentral is "bacterial SSU rRNA". It matches the Rfam family "Bacterial small subunit ribosomal RNA", at positions 355 to 774 of the family's 1533-position model. The record is from RNAcentral.